CUAGCAUCCCCCUCUCCUUUUAUUCUGCCUUUCUUUCUUUUAUAUUGUUUUUCAACUAACUCUUCUUCCUUGUUUUUUUUUCUUUACUUUUUUUAGAGAGAAUUGUUACAACCAUGGCCGGACUCGGAAUUAACCAGUCUCUGUCCCACGCCCCAAACCUCAUAAAGGUUGAGAAGAAGGCGGACCUCAAGGGUCGCCGCACGUGUUUAGGUUGCAAACAAACUCAAAUGCAUUUUUAUUGAAGCAUCCUCAUUCGGAUUCGUCCCGUCCAUUUUGACUUCA
This 282-nucleotide long non-coding RNA is filed under the name Linum usitatissimum (flax). Its description in RNAcentral is "long non-coding RNA (LUSI_LNC003513)". The record is from RNAcentral. Lineage: Eukaryota; Viridiplantae; Streptophyta; Magnoliopsida; Malpighiales; Linaceae.